This 985-nucleotide ribosomal RNA is filed under the name uncultured Prevotellaceae bacterium. RNAcentral describes it as "bacterial SSU rRNA". It matches the Rfam family "Bacterial small subunit ribosomal RNA", at positions 255 to 1241 of the family's 1533-position model. Lineage: Bacteria; Pseudomonadati; Bacteroidota; Bacteroidia; Bacteroidales; Prevotellaceae. The record is from RNAcentral.
AGGUAACGGCUCACCAAGGCUACGAUCAGUAGGGGUUCUGAGAGGAAGGUCCCCCACAUUGGAACUGAGACACGGUCCAAACUCCUACGGGAGGCAGCAGUGAGGAAUAUUGGUCAAUGGGCGCAAGCCUGAACCAGCCAAGUAGCGUGCAGGACGACGGCCCUAUGGGUUGUAAACUGCUUUUGUACGGGGAUAAAACGGCGGACGUGUCCGCCCUUGCAGGUACCGUACGAAUAAGGACCGGCUAAUUCCGUGCCAGCAGCCGCGGUAAUACGGAAGGUCCGGGCGUUAUCCGGAUUUAUUGGGUUUAAAGGGAGCGUAGGCCGGGGAUUAAGUGUGUUGUGAAAUGUAGACGCUCAACGUCUGACUUGCAGCGCAUACUGGUUCCCUUGAGUACGCACAACGUCGGCGGAAUUCGUCGUGUAGCGGUGAAAUGCUUAGAUAUGACGAAGAAACUCCGAUUGCGAAGGCAGCUGACGGGAGCGCAACUGACGCUUAAGCUCGAAGGUGCGGGUAUCGAACAGGAUUAGAUACCCUGGUAGUCCGCACGGUAAACGAUGGAUGCCCGCUGUUGGUACCUGGUAUCAGCGGCUAAGCGAAAGCAUUAAGCAUCCCACCUGGGGAGUACGCCGGCAACGGUGAAACUCAAAGGAAUUGACGGGGGCCCGCACAAGCGGAGGAACAUGUGGUUUAAUUCGAUGAUACGCGAGGAACCUUACCCGGGCUUGAAUUGCAGGAGAACGAUACAGAGAUGUUGAGGUCCUUCGGGACUCCUGUGAAGGUGCUGCAUGGUUGUCGUCAGCUCGUGCCGUGAGGUGUCGGCUUAAGUGCCAUAACGAGCGCAACCCCUCUCUUCAGUUGCCAUCAGGUAGUGCUGGGCACUCUGGAGACACUGCCACCGUAAGGUGUGAGGAAGGUGGGGAUGACGUCAAAUCAGCACGGCCCUUACAUCCGGGGCGACACACGUGUUACAAUGGCAGGGACA